RNAcentral lists this ribosomal RNA (447 nucleotides) under Salmonella enterica. RNAcentral's name for it is "bacterial SSU rRNA". It matches the Rfam family "Bacterial small subunit ribosomal RNA", at positions 1 to 444 of the family's 1533-position model. The record is from RNAcentral. Lineage: Bacteria; Pseudomonadati; Pseudomonadota; Gammaproteobacteria; Enterobacterales; Enterobacteriaceae. RNAcentral also lists the same sequence under 6 other names.
AAAUUGAAGAGUUUGAUCAUGGCUCAGAUUGAACGCUGGCGGCAGGCCUAACACAUGCAAGUCGAACGGUAACAGGAAGCAGCUUGCUGCUUUGCUGACGAGUGGCGGACGGGUGAGUAAUGUCUGGGAAACUGCCUGAUGGAGGGGGAUAACUACUGGAAACGGUGGCUAAUACCGCAUAACGUCGCAAGACCAAAGAGGGGGACCUUCGGGCCUCUUGCCAUCAGAUGUGCCCAGAUGGGAUUAGCUUGUUGGUGAGGUAACGGCUCACCAAGGCGACGAUCCCUAGCUGGUCUGAGAGGAUGACCAGCCACACUGGAACUGAGACACGGUCCAGACUCCUACGGGAGGCAGCAGUGGGGAAUAUUGCACAAUGGGCGCAAGCCUGAUGCAGCCAUGCCGCGUGUAUGAAGAAGGCCUUCGGGUUGUAAAGUACUUUCAGCGGGG